RNAcentral lists this ribosomal RNA (1040 nucleotides) under bacterium SCS_04Z1_60_1. Its description in RNAcentral is "bacterial SSU rRNA". It matches the Rfam family "Bacterial small subunit ribosomal RNA", at positions 40 to 1089 of the family's 1533-position model. The record is from RNAcentral.
GGGCCUUUUUGCUGCCGGCACAUGCAGUCGUACGAGUGUAGACCAAGCUUGCUGGGUGGAUCAGUGGCGAACGGGUGAGUAACACGUGAGCAACCUGCCCCCUACUUCGGGAUAAGCCUUGGAAACGAGGUCUAAUACCGGAUAUGAACACUUGUCGCAUGGCGGGUGUUGGAAAGUUUUUCGGUGGGGGAUGGGCUCGCGGCCUAUCAGCUUGUUGGUGGGGUAAUGGCCUACCAAGGCGUCGACGGGUAGCCGGCCUGAGAGGGCGACCGGCCACACUGGGACUGAGACACGGCCCAGACUCCUACGGGAGGCAGCAGUGGGGAAUAUUGCACAAUGGGCGAAAGCCUGAUGCAGCGACGCCACGUGAGGGAUGACGGCCUUCGGGUUGUAAACCUCUUUCAGCAGGGAAGAAGCGAAAGUGACGGUACCUGCAGAAGAAGCGCCGGCUAACUACGUGCCAGCAGCCGCGGUAAUACGUAGGGCGCAAGCGUUGUCCGGAAUUAUUGGGCGUAAAGAGCUCGUAGGCGGUCUGUCGCGUCUGGUGUGAAAUCCCAUGGCUCAACUGUGGGCUUGCAUCGGGUACGGGCAGACUAGAGUGCUGUAGGGGAGACUGGAAUUCCUGGUGUAGCGGUGGAAUGCGCAGAUAUCAGGAGGAACACCGAUGGCGAAGGCAGGUCUCUGGGCAGUUACUGACGCUGAGGAGCGAAAGCAUGGGGAGCGAACAGGAUUAGAUACCCUGGUAGUCCAUGCCGUAAACGUUGGGCACUAGGUGUGGGGCGGGUUCCACUCGUUCUGUGCCGCAGCUAACGCAUUAAGUGCCCCGCCUGGGGAGUACGGCCGCAAGGCUAAAACUCAAAGGAAUUGACGGGGGCCCGCACAAGCGGCGGAGCAUGCGGAUUAAUUCGAUGCAACGCGAAAACCUUACCAAGGGCUGACAUGUACGAGAAAGCCCCAAAGAAUGGGGUUCUCUUUGGGACACUCGUACACAGUGCUGCAUGCUGGUCGUCAGCUCUGGUCUGAAUGUUGGGUUAGUUCCG